UACGUAGGGGGCUAGCGUUGUCCGGAAUCAUUGGGCGUAAAGCGCGUGUAGGCGGUCCGGUAAGUCCGCUGUGAAAGUCGAGGGCUCAACCCUCGAAUGCCGGUGGAUACUGUCGGACUAGAGUACAGAAGGGGCAACUGGAAUUCUCGGUGUAGCGGUGAAAUGCGUAGAUAUCGAGAGGAACACCUGCGGCGAAGGCGGGUUGCUGGGCUGAUACUGACGUGAGGUGCGACAGCGUGGGGGAGCGAACGGG
This 253-nucleotide ribosomal RNA is filed under the name uncultured bacterium. Its description in RNAcentral is "partial 16S ribosomal RNA". It matches the Rfam family "Bacterial small subunit ribosomal RNA", at positions 524 to 776 of the family's 1533-position model. The record is from RNAcentral.